This 26-nucleotide non-coding RNA is filed under the name Mus musculus (house mouse). Lineage: Eukaryota; Metazoa; Chordata; Mammalia; Rodentia; Muridae. The record is from RNAcentral.
UAAUGGAGGACUGACUCACACAAAAU